CGGAACUUUUAUUUUGGCAGGUGGAGUGAAAUCAGACCCAGCGCUGUCUCAGAAAGUGCCACAGAAAAAGGCGGACUAUUUCUAAAACUCGGGCAUCUAAGUCAGUUUUGUGAUUUAAAAAGACAGAAAUAAGAAAGUGGAUGAUUUUGGCUCAUAUAUAAUCUGUAAUUUUUUUGUUCUGGAUUACAACGAAACUAAAAUCAGCGUCUUCGCCAGCUUCUUGUUCGAAUUUUUCCGGUCCACCUUAAAUGGCGCCCCAGUUCCUAUAACGCCUCAGGCUCCGAACGCGAGCCCUGCACCAUUUAAGGUGGAGCGGGCAAAUUCGAAAAGGAAGCCAACUUGUGAAUUAAAGCAGGCUGAUCAGGACCUCGUGGUAGAGCAUCAACAACUUGGGGGUUGUUUAUUAGUUAAUGAUCAAAUAUUAUAAAUAAACAGCUGAUAAACGCGAUAAGGCUGCUCAGCCUGUGUGGUCAGGAUGUGGUCAGAGCAUGGCAGUGUGUAUGUGAGGGAGAAAGGUGAGCUGCACUGUGUAAGGACUGAUGGUCAGCUGCUCUCCACAUAUAAAGCGCCCAGGCUGUUUCAGAAGGACUUUACAGUAAGACUCUGCAUUGAGAGUUCAGCCCCCAUCAGCAGGCAGAGGAGUGACCACUUCAUCUUCACCUACAACAGAGAGGGCAGUCUGUGCUACACGGUCAAACCCCUGCUGGACAUCUCUCUGCUCUUUAUAGCUGAUAAUAUUGAACAUGUGGACUCUCUGGUUGGUUUUCCUGAACAAAUGGCUCAUAAGCUGUUUGUGGUUGCAGAGGAGAAGCAGAAGUUCACAGACCCUCCGACCUCAGCCAGGGCACUGCAGGUGUUCAGUGAGGCCUACGGAGGGCUAGUGUUAAAGUCACUGUGUCUGAGAGACAGGAAACUUCUGGUAUCUGAAAGGAUGGAUGAGAUUCAGGUGUUUCAUCAGCUGGAGGUUCUGGAUCUGUACGGGUGUGGAUUAGGAGACAGUCACGACAUUUUCAGACACCUCAGCUCAGAGGCUUUCACCAGGCUGGUCAGGCUGUUUUUGGGAGAUAACUGUCUGACGGAUAAAGGCCUCCAGAGACUGACCGCACCAAUCAGAGUGAUGAAAAAAGGGCUGGAGAACCUCCAACAACUGGACCUGUCUGGUAACCCUCUCUCAGAGAAAGGACUCUGGUAUCUCACCUGCUUUAAGAAGCUGGAGGAGCUGGACGUCUCCAGGACGAGUGUGAAGUUAGACGCAUCGCUGAAGAGCUUCUUCAGGGCGAUGAUGAGGAUGGAGCUCUCGGCAGAACCGCUGAAGGUCUUCACUCAUGCUAAGUGUCAAACUGAGGGCUGGGCUGAAGAGGUAAUAAACCAGUGGGAAAGAAAAGCUUCAGAGUUACCAAACAAGGAGCCUAAACCAAGAACCAACGCUCUGCAGUUCUACGGAAGGGAAAAGUUUGUCCGAGAGAGGAUUCACUCCACCUCUAACGAUCGCAGAACCGAAGGACAGAUGACCAUAAUCCACUUCUACAAGCCUCACAGCCCAACACAACAGACAGGACACAGUAAGGACACCACUGCAGCCCUGACUGUCCUGAUGGGCAGAAAGAGGAAACUUUCAGGCGAAAAAGAAGAACAAGCUGAGAGCAGCCCACCUGCCAAACGCCCACCUGAGAGCACCUUCUCAGCUGAAGACUUGAACCUCCUGAACAGUUACUGACAGACACUUCACCUUGAUCAUGCAGAAGGUUCUUUUUGGUGCAUGAUUCUGCAUGAUUCUGCAUCAUGAAAGGGUUCUUCAAAUUGAUGGAGAACGUACUGUAGAUGGUUCUAUAUAGUACCCAGAAUGUUUUAACUAUUGUUAUAAGUUUGACAUUGUAACAAUAGAAGACCCCUUUUUCAAAAGGUUCUAUGUAGAACCGUCUACAGCACAUUCUUAAGAGCCCGUUCAUGAUGCAAAGAUAGGGUUCAUUGAGUGUUCGAUAUAGAAUCAGUCUCUUUAUUAGUGAACCCUUAAAGAGACCAUGCGUUUUAAGAGUGUACCUUCCUGCGGAGUCCGGUUCCACCGUAUGCCCCUCCUGCUCUGGCUCAGUCCCUGAUUGGCUGGAUCAGAUGCUUUAGUGUUGGAUGUGGACGGUGAGCAGCAGUUGGAUGAAGCUUGGAACUAAACUCUGCAGGACAGCAGAUCUCCAGGAGGAGGGCUAUUGACCGCUGCUUCAUGCUGUGAUGAUGACCAGCAGAGGAAACUCACCACAGGCCUUAUUUUAAAAGGAAAUGACACUUACAGACACCGGCCUCAUCUGAACAGUCCCCACAGUCAUUAAUGCGGUUAAAGCCUUUGUCGAUGGUCCAGACGCGAGGAUUUCCACACCGAAAAAUCAGGGCACUCGGAAGAUUAUCAGGUAAAUCACCUGCAGAACAGACAGGGCUGUAAAACACUGGAGAUGAGAAAUGUAUGGAUGUGGAUUAAGUUUAGAACCGUACUGCAUAUGAGAUCUCUCUCAUCGGCUCCAUCGGGACAGUCAGGUGCAGAGGUCAGAAUGAGGAAGGCAGGUCACUCUCAUCACACAGAAAUCCUGACCCAUUCUGCGCUGUCC
RNA transcript from Pygocentrus nattereri (red-bellied piranha), 2594 nucleotides. It is a transcript of the gene named leucine rich repeat containing 42, with no coding region annotated. The record is from RefSeq and is a predicted model, not a curated record. NCBI's taxonomy places the organism in Eukaryota, Metazoa, Chordata, Actinopteri, Characiformes, Serrasalmidae. The transcript is spliced from 8 exons.